RNAcentral lists this transfer RNA (76 nucleotides) under Collinsella aerofaciens. Its description in RNAcentral is "tRNA-Ile". It matches the Rfam family "tRNA". From Rfam's summary of the family: Transfer RNA (tRNA) molecules are approximately 80 nucleotides in length. The record is from RNAcentral. RNAcentral also lists the same sequence under 4 other names. Lineage: Bacteria; Bacillati; Actinomycetota; Coriobacteriia; Coriobacteriales; Coriobacteriaceae.
GGGCUCUUGGCGCAACGGUCAGCGCAGGGGACUCAUAAUCCCUGGGUUCUGGGUUCGAAUCCCGGAGGGCCCACCA